RNAcentral lists this ribosomal RNA (303 nucleotides) under uncultured bacterium. Its description in RNAcentral is "partial 16S ribosomal RNA". It matches the Rfam family "Bacterial small subunit ribosomal RNA", at positions 507 to 807 of the family's 1533-position model. The record is from RNAcentral.
AGCAGCAGCCGCGGUAAUACGGAGGGUGCAAGCGUUAAUCGGAAUUACUGGGCGUAAAGCGCACGCAGGCGGUCUGACAAGUCAGAUGUGAAAUCCCCGGGCUUAACCUGGGAACUGCAUUUGAAACUGUCAGACUGGAGUCUUGUAGAGGGGGGUAGAAUUCCAGGUGUAGCGGUGAAAUGCGUAGAGAUCUGGAGGAAUACCGGUGGCGAAGGCGGCCCCCUGGACAAAGACUGACGCUCAGGUGCGAAAGCGUGGGGAGCAAACAGGAUUAGAUACCCCUGUAGUCCCUGUCUCUUAUAC